RNAcentral lists this unclassified non-coding RNA (322 nucleotides) under Idiomarinaceae bacterium HL-53. RNAcentral's name for it is "Long range pseudoknot". Lineage: Bacteria; Pseudomonadati; Pseudomonadota; Gammaproteobacteria; Alteromonadales; Idiomarinaceae. The record is from RNAcentral.
ACAGAUGAAGGCGAUUACCAGGUCAAACUGCGCAACCUGCGUCGCUUUCUUGAGGGAGGUGACAAAGCGAAAGUCACCGUGCGUUUCCGUGGCCGAGAAAUGGCACACCAAGAGUUGGGUAUUCAGUUACUAGAACGAAUUAAAGUCGAUCUAGACGAAAUAUCUAACUGCGAGGCUUUCCCUCGUCGGGCUGAAGGUCGCCAAAUGAUCAUGGUUUUGGCACCGGAAAGUAAGAAGUAGCAGAGGUUUACAAGUAGAAGCUAUGUCGGCUUCUCACCCUGUAACUCAAUUGGCAAUCAAUGCGGAGUUUUUGUAAUGCCAA